GUGAAUCAUCGAGUCUUUGAACGCAUAUUGCGCUCUUUGGUAUUCCGAAGAGCAUGCUUGUUUGAGUAUCAGUAAACACCUCAACCUCCUCUUGUUUUUUCAAAAGGAGGGUGGACUUGAGCUAUCCCAACAACCUUUCCGUACGGUGAGCGGGCGUACUUGAAUGCAGGUGCAGCUGGACUUUUUAUCUGAGCUAAAAGCAUAUCUAUUUAGUCCUCGUCAAACAGGAUUAUUACUAUUGCUGCAGCUAACAUAAAGGAUAAUUGUCCUCAUUGCUGACUGAUGCAGGAUUUUACGACACUUUUAUGUGUUGUUCAACUCGAUCUCAAAUCAAGUAAGACUACCCGCUGAACUUAAGCAUAUCAAUAAGCGGAGG
RNAcentral lists this ribosomal RNA (376 nucleotides) under uncultured fungus. Its description in RNAcentral is "eukaryotic LSU rRNA". The stretch from base 1 to 71 matches the Rfam family "5.8S ribosomal RNA", at positions 84 to 154 of the family's 154-position model. Lineage: Eukaryota; Fungi. The record is from RNAcentral.